RNAcentral lists this ribosomal RNA (250 nucleotides) under uncultured bacterium. Its description in RNAcentral is "partial 16S ribosomal RNA". It matches the Rfam family "Bacterial small subunit ribosomal RNA", at positions 524 to 773 of the family's 1533-position model. The record is from RNAcentral.
UACGGAGGGUGCGAGCGUUAAUCGGAAUUACUGGGCGUAAAGGGUGCGCAGGUGGUUUACCAAGAUAGCUGUGAAAUCCCCGGGCUCAACCUGGGCAGGUCAGCUAUGACUGGUAGACUGGAGUACAGGAGAGGGUAGUGGAAUUUCCGGUGUAGCGGUGAAAUGCGUAGAGAUCGGAAGGAACACCGGUGGCGAAGGCGGCUGCCUGGCCUGAUACUGACACUGAGGCACGAAAGCGUGGGGAGCAAAC